This 1311-nucleotide ribosomal RNA is filed under the name metagenome. RNAcentral describes it as "bacterial LSU rRNA". It matches the Rfam family "Bacterial large subunit ribosomal RNA", at positions 1630 to 2925 of the family's 2925-position model. The record is from RNAcentral.
UUGGUACAUGGCCCGUACCCCAAACCGACACAGGUGGUCAGGUAGAGAAUACUAAGGCGAUCGAGAGAACUGUGGUUAAGGAACUCGGCAAAAUGCCCCCGUAACUUCGGGAGAAGGGGGACCAGUCCUGGUGACGACAUUUACUGUCUGAGCUGGGGUUGGUCGCAGAGACCAGAGAGAAGCGACUGUUUACUAAAAACACAGGUCCGUGCGAAGUCGUAAGACGAUGUAUACGGACUGACGCCUGCCCGGUGCUGGAAGGUUAAGAGGACCGGUCAGCCACUUCGGUGGCGAAGCUGAGAAUUUAAGCCCCAGUAAACGGCGGUGGUAACUAUAACCAUCCUAAGGUAGCGAAAUUCCUUGUCGGGUAAGUUCCGACCUGCACGAAUGGCGUAACGACUUCUCUGCUGUCUCAACCACAGACUCGGCGAAAUUGCAGUACGAGUAAAGAUGCUCGUUACGCGCGGCAGGACGAAAAGACCCCGGGACCUUCACUAUAGCUUGGUAUUGGUGUUCGGUUGGGUUUGUGUAGGAUAGGUGGGAGACUGUGAAACUCGCACGCCAGUGUGGGUGGAGUCAUUGUUGAAAUACCACUCUGACCGUAUUGGACAUCUAACCUCGGACCAUGAUCUGGUUCAGGGACAGUGCCUGGUGGGUAGUUUAACUGGGGCGGUUGCCUCCCAAAAAGUAACGGAGGCGCCCAAAGGUUCCCUCAGCCUGGUUGGCAAUCAGGUGUUGAGUGUAAGUGCACAAGGGAGCUUGACUGUGAGACGUACAUGUCGAGCAGGGACGAAAGUCGGGACUAGUGAUCCGGCACCGGCAAGUGGAAGCGGUGUCGCUCAACGGAUAAAAGGUACCCCGGGGAUAACAGGCUGCUCUUCCCCAAGAGUCCAUAUCGACGGGAUGGUUUGGCACCUCGAUGUCGGCUCGUCGCAUCCUGGGGCUGGAGUAGGUCCCAAGGGUUGGGCUGUUCGCCCAUUAAAGCGGCACGCGAGCUGGGUUUAGAACGUCGUGAGACAGUUCGGUCUCUAUCCGCCGCGCGCGUAAGAGACUUGAGGAAACCUGUCCCUAGUACGAGAGGACCGGGACGGACGAACCUCUGGUGUGCCAGUUGUUCCACCAGGAGCACCGCUGGUUAGCUACGUUCGGAAGGGAUAACCGCUGAAAGCAUCUAAGCGGGAAGCCUGUUCCAAGAUGAGGUUUCUCACCACCUAGCGUGGUUAAGGCCCCCCACAGACCAUGGGGUUGAUAGGCCAGAACUGUAAGCACAGCAAUGUGUUCAGGUGACUGGUACUAAUCGGCCGAGGACUU